GAGAAAGUAUGCAAGAGCUGCUAACUCAUGCUACCGUGCUUAAACGCACGGCUUUCUUAC
RNAcentral lists this transfer RNA (60 nucleotides) under Microtus agrestis (short-tailed field vole). RNAcentral's name for it is "tRNA-Ser". The record is from RNAcentral. Lineage: Eukaryota; Metazoa; Chordata; Mammalia; Rodentia; Cricetidae.